CCCCCCCCCCCCCCCCUCUCUCUCUCUCUCUCAGAUAAAGACCGGGGCUCCCUGCAGGUCGGAGCGUCUGGCCAAAUACAAUCAGCUGAUGAGGAUUGAGGAGGAGCUCGGAGACAAGGCUAAGUUCGCCGGCAAAGAUUUCCGUCACCCAAAGAUCAACUAAAUCGCUGUCCUGACUUCCUGUCUGACUGACAGCUGAUGACCCUUGAAGCCCCUCCCCCCCUAAAGCUGGGGGGUGAGAGGUCAGAGGUCACAGCGGGUUUCUAGCUAUAAUUCCAUUAAAGAUGUUUUCUAUAUAAAACACAAUAAAGACUGAAGAAGAAAACA
Long non-coding RNA from Micropterus dolomieu (smallmouth bass), 327 nucleotides. RefSeq lists it as uncharacterized. The transcript is spliced from 2 exons. Lineage: Eukaryota; Metazoa; Chordata; Actinopteri; Centrarchiformes; Centrarchidae. The record is from RefSeq and is a predicted model, not a curated record.